RNAcentral lists this ribosomal RNA (265 nucleotides) under uncultured bacterium. RNAcentral's name for it is "partial 16S ribosomal RNA". It matches the Rfam family "Bacterial small subunit ribosomal RNA", at positions 524 to 789 of the family's 1533-position model. The record is from RNAcentral.
UACGUAGGAGGCAAGCGUUGUCCGGAAUUACUGGGCGUAAAGCGCGUGUAGGUGGUGGGACAAGUCUGCUGUGAAAGCGCCUGGCUUAACCGGGCGAGGUCGGCGGAAACUGUUCGACUCGGAGGACGGUAGAGGGGGUGGAAUUCCCGGUGUAGUGGUGAAAUGCGUAGAGAUCGGGAGGAACACCUGUGGCGAAGGCGGCCCCCUGGGCCGGCCCUGACACUGAGACGCGAAGGCGUGGGGAGCGAACGGGGAUUAGAAUCCG